UCCCCGCGCUCUUCUAUGAAUGCCGGCGUCCCGAUCAUCUUUGACUGCGCAGGCGCCGGUCUCCAAUAUGGCGCCGUGUGGCUUUUGCAGGGCUGCGCAGCCUCUGAGGAUUCCCGGGAAUUUUAAAAAUGUUGUUUGUUUGUUUGUUUAUUGUGUGCAGAUGCCGUCGCGGUCACGUUUAAUUACGCAAUCGCGAGAUGAAUCGUUUUUGCCCAGUUCUAGGAAGACGGAUGCAGGUUGGCGUUUUGUUGUGCUUUCAUUUUCUUUUGUCAAAUGCGCUCGUGUGGAUCUCCGCCUCCCUGCCGACAUGAACUGAAGAACUGACUGGUUGAUAUGGAAGACCAGACUUGUAAUUCUGCACGGAGGUCUUCUGGCAUUCAGGAGAAUGAUGAGGAGAUUAUGCUGUAUACUGACAGAGGGGAGGCAAGAGUAGAUCUUGCCUCUUCUAUGCUGCAAAGCCAUGAGGGGAGACCUGUCUGGGUUAAAGAGGAACACUGUGAAAGGCACUGUGUACUUGUUGAAGAUGAGAAUUGUCACCCUGGCUCUUUCCAGUUUAAAGCUGGCAUUUCCACCUCCACAUCGGCACCAAAAGUUGAGUUGUGUGAUUUGAGUUCUGUCUGUAUUAAAGAAGAAGUUUCUGAACAUGGGUAUGACUUUGUUUUAAAACAAGGCUUGGAUCCUUUGACUGUUUUAGGUCAAGUCACUUUACUGAGGUCCUCUGUAAACAGGCAGAAUUUCUCCUGUCCUCAGCAACCUGAGUUACUGCAGCAUGAGAAAGGAAUUAUAGUGGAGACCAUUAUCGGUAGGCCUCAGGAGGAAGAGGCAGCACCCCAUACUACCAAUCCAUCUGGAAAAAUGAAAACAUCCAGUGGAGCUGCUGUUAAGAAUAUCCAGAGGAACUGCAUCUCAAAAACCACCUGUCAAAAUUCAGAAAACCUGAAAGUAUUUAAUGAAAAAAGACCAGGAAAGCUCUACAAAGAUGCUCAUUCUAGUAACUUGGGAGAUGGCAAGUCCGUGGUGGAGAAAAAUGUAACUGGGCAGACAUCAUCUACGAAGGGUCCUCGGAAAGUCCAAGCCAAAAAGAGGCCUUUCAGUUGUACUGGUUGUGAGAAAACAUUUACAAGGAAGUUUCAUCUGAACUGUCAUAUAAGAAUUCACACGGGAGAGAAACCAUUCUGCUGCACUGAAUGUGGAAAGAUGUUUAUUAAGAAAGAUUAUCUGCAGAGGCACCUAAGAGUUCACACUGGAGAGAAGCCAUAUUGCUGCGAUAGAUGUGGGAAGUAUUUUUCAAUGAGAAAUAAUCUUCAGCGACAUUAUAGAAUUCACACUGGAGAGAAACCUUAUGGCUGCACAGAGUGUGGAAAGCGUUUCACAAAGAAAAAUAAUCUUCAGCGUCAUCAGAUAGUUCACACAGGAGAGCAGCCUUAUGGCUGCAAUGUGUGUGAAAAGAGAUUUACAAAGAGGAUUCAGCUUAAAGUCCACUUGAAGGUUCAUAUGGGUAAAAGGAUGUUUGAGUGUAAUGAAUGUGGUAAAAAAUUCACAAAGAAACAUGGACUUCAGCUGCACACCAGAAUUCACACUGGAGAAAAGCCUUACUGCUGUUCUGACUGUGGAAUUAGAUUCAUACAGAAAAAUACUCUUCAGCAGCACCAGAGGAUCCACACAGGAGAGAAGCCAUAUUUUUGCAUUAUAUGCGGUAAAAGGUUUUCUCGGGAAAUCCAUCUUAAACAGCACCAGAGGAUUCACACAGGUGAAAAGCCAUUUUGCUGUACUGACUGUGGCAAAAAGUUUACACAGGAAGGAACACUGAAACACCACCAGAGGAUUCAUACAGGUGAAAAACCGUAUUGUUGUACUGAAUGUGGGAAAAGGUUCACAGGAAAAAAUAAUCUUGUUUACCACCGGCGGAUUCAUUCUGGAGAGAAGCCAUUCUCCUGUAGUGAAUGUGGAAAGAGAUUCGCAGCAAGGAAAACUCUUCAGCAGCACUUGAAAAUUCAUACGGGGGAGAAGCAGCAUUGCUGCAACGAUUGUGGAAAACGUUUUACCCAGAAAAUUGCCCUUCAACAACACCAAAGGAUUCAUACUGGAGAGAAACCAUAUUGGUGCAGUGAAUGUGGGAAACUCUUCACUAGGAGUAACAAUCUGAAACGGCACAUGAUGAUCAUGCACACUACAGAGAACCCAACACAAUUUUGAGAAAAGUAUAGGCAAAAGAUCCAGAUGUGCACAUUUGAAUUCUCUAAACACUUUUUGUACACUUUUUUUUUUUUUCUUGCAUUUCUGAGAAGGUUAUAUGAAUUAUACCAUUGGUCUGAAGAUUUGAAACCAUACAUAACAAACUGAAAAGAUAAAACUGAAGCUGGGUUUCCUGUUACCCUUCAAGGAUUCACUGGAUGAAAAUUUUGGAUCUGAUAAUUACAGCUUUAUAAAAGUUAAAUUGAAAGUGUGGCAGUGUUUGUUUUAUAUUUUACACUGAUGGCAAGUAUUGGGAUUUUAUUUUUUGUUGUUUUAGGUUAUGAAUUUUAUAUCCAUUCCAUUACUUGUGUAACAUAAUGCAGUGCUUCUAAAGUUCCUCAGAUACCGCAAUGAAGAAUUGUUCUGUCCUUGUUAUCCAUUUUCUUCAUAUAAAUCUCCACAUAUUCAGGAAAUGGGAAUAUGGGUACUGCAUAAACUAUCUUGCAACUGGACACCUGUCAUUUCCCUGGCAAUACCGUGAAGUACACAGUGCAGACCUUUGCAGUAUUCAGACCCUUUGCUGUGGCACUAUAAAUUGUGUUCAUACUCCUCCUUUCUGAUUUUGUUCUCCUUGUGAUGUGCCUAGAAUUUGUCUGGAGUCCACCUGUGGCAAGUUGAUUUUUUUUUUUUUGGACAAUGUUUUUAAAAAGACAUUCAUGUACAUGUGUGUGUAUAUAAGGUCCUUAAUUCUCUCUUCAUGUCUGGACAACAAACAAGGUAUGAUGGCCAAGGAACUCUCUGUUGACCUCCGUGGUCAUAUUAUGGUGAGGCAUAGAUAAUGGCAAUGGGAUGAAAGCAUUUCUAUAGCUUUGCUCCUCAGCUUUAGCACUACAUUGUAUUCAAAGUGGCCUCAAUAAUGAUGAAAUGGAAGAAGUUUAUCCACCUGGACUCUUCCAAGACGUGGCCAAUCCAACCAAACUGAGUAACCAGGCAAGAAGAGCCUUGGUCAGGGAGGUGACCAAGAAUGCAAUGGUCACUCAAACAGAGCUUCUGAAGUCCUCUACUGAGAUGGGAGAAACCUAUUGGAAGGAUGGAGACCAUCCACCUUAACUCUGACAGCAUGUGGAAAAAGACUCUGAUCUGAUGAUGCAAAACUUAACUCUUUUGGCAAGAUUCCAAGCUUGAUGUGUAUUAAAUUCUCUUAAUCCUAUAUCUAUCUUAUGUAAGUGUGCAUUAUUUUUUGUUGUAUACUAUUUUCAAUUUUUUGUAUCUAUUUAUUUGACAUCUUGUAAAGCACUUGGAGCUACAUCCUUUGUAUGAAAAUGUGCUGUAGAAAUGUUGUUCAGACCAAGUUUUUGAGGGUUAGUUUAAGUAUAUCUGAAAUAAUACUGUAGUAGCUGCGGAUCAAGAUUAGACGAAGUAGUGCGGUACGAAGAGAAGAUCUUCAGUCUCGGUGACUAGUGGAACAACAGUAGUAAGUUUUUAACUAAUAUGCAGCUAGUCUUGUUGUUUAUGGUCCUCUUUGGCUUGCUUAUGUCAAUCAAUGACUUGCUGUGUUGCAACUUGCACUUGAUUUAAAGGGACAGGGCAUAGAGAAAAUGUAUGUCCUUGUGUAAAAGUAAUAAAAAAUAUUUGCAAUUUGUAAGCUACAUUAGAUUAAAGUAAGUGCUGCUGUCAUCACUAUACACUAAAUGAUGCUCAUGUUGCGCAUCAGAUAAGGCCAUGAAAUCUAUGGAAAGUAUAUCGAGACUAAUGAAGAUGAACAGUAAACUUCAGUAGAAUCAUAAGUUAACUAUAAUUGUCUUUCUGUAACUCUGUAGGGUGUGCGCCUAGGUAGUUGCAGGAACAAAGUAAUACAGGUGUUGUACCAAAAGCAUCACCAGCCCACAUCCAUCCUCCCCAUUCACGUCAGCAAAGUCAAAAGGAUUUUUUUUGUUUUAUAUUCAGGUAAAUAUGUAAGGGCUAUUGAUUAAUUUUGUCAUACUACUUGUAAUAGUAUAGCCAACAGUGAUUAGAAGAUCUCAUUUAUUUAUAUUUUUCCUGUUACUGCAUUAAGUGUUAGGCAGUAUUAUUCGACUGCAGCUGUAACAGAUUUAUUAGGAUGUUGAUAUCACACCUGCCAAAAUAAUACAUCUUAACUUCAGACUGGUAGGUCAGUGUCAAUUCAGAUUUUAUCUGCUGUCAAUGACUGAUUUGUAGAUUAUGCCGUAGAAAUUUCACUCCUACCUAAAAAUAGCUGUGUUGCAGUUACCAUCAUGAAAUUUCUGCCAUCUUGACCUCUCGUAAUAGCACUGCCAUUUUUCUGCUUCCACAGUACUUUACACUCUUCCACAUGAUAAUACAUCAGUAGGUGUUUGUAUGUUAUAGCGCCACCCUUCAGUCUCUGAGGGAGACCACCU
This is an RNA transcript of Polypterus senegalus (gray bichir), 4574 nucleotides long. It is a transcript of the gene named gastrula zinc finger protein XlCGF26.1-like, with no coding region annotated. The transcript has 6 exons. The record is from RefSeq and is a predicted model, not a curated record. NCBI's taxonomy places the organism in Eukaryota, Metazoa, Chordata, Cladistia, Polypteriformes, Polypteridae.